RNAcentral lists this unclassified non-coding RNA (228 nucleotides) under Glomeromycotina sp. RNAcentral describes it as "partial contains 5.8S ribosomal RNA and internal transcribed spacer 2". The stretch from base 1 to 71 matches the Rfam family "5.8S ribosomal RNA", at positions 84 to 154 of the family's 154-position model. The record is from RNAcentral. Lineage: Eukaryota; Fungi; Glomeromycota.
GUGAAUCAUCAAAUUUUUGAACGCAAAUUGCACUCUCUGGUAUUCCGGAGAGUAUGUCUGUUUGAGGGUCAGUUUAAAUAAAAAUCGGUGUGGUUGCUGCAUUUCGUGGUGACGCACCGGAUGUGGGUCGUCUCGCCUUAGGUUAAGUAACCUAAAAUUUUGCAUGAUUUUUUUGAACGGAUUUAAAUGAUUUUACGUACGUUUGCGAUGUCGAAUAUUAGGUGCGGA